GACGAACGCUGGCGGCGUGCUUAACACAUGCAAGUCGAGCGGUAAGGCCCUUUCGGGGGUACACGAGCGGCGAACGGGUGAGUAACACGUGGGUGACCUGCCCUCAGCUCUGGGAUAAGCCUGGGAAACCGGGUCUAAUACUGGAUAUGACUCCAUGACGCAUGUUGUGGGGUGGAAAGCCUUGUGCGGCUGAGGAUGGGCCCGCGGCCUAUCAGCUUGUUGGUGGGGUGANGGCCUACCAAGGCGACGACGGGUAGCCGGCCUGAGAGGGCGACCGGCCACACUGGGACUGAGACACGGCCCAGACUCCGUACGGGAGGCAGCAGGUGGGGAAUCUUGCGCAAUGGGCGAAAGCCUGACGCAGCGACGCCGCGUGGA
This 378-nucleotide ribosomal RNA is filed under the name uncultured bacterium. RNAcentral describes it as "bacterial SSU rRNA". It matches the Rfam family "Bacterial small subunit ribosomal RNA", at positions 28 to 405 of the family's 1533-position model. The record is from RNAcentral.